AACGAACGCUGGCGGCAUGCCUAACACAUGCAAGUCGAACGAGACCUUCGGGUCUAGUGGCGCACGGGUGCGUAACGCGUGGGAACCUGCCCUUAGGUUCGGAAUAACUCCCCGAAAGGGGUGCUAAUACCGGAUAAUGUCUUCGGACCAAAGAUUUAUCGCCUUUGGAUGGGCCCGCGUUGGAUUAGCUAGUUGGUAGGGUAAAAGCCUACCAAGGCGACGAUCCAUAGCUGGUCUGAGAGGAUGAUCAGCCACACUGGGACUGAGACACGGCCCAGACUCCUACGGGAGGCAGCAGUGGGGAAUAUUGGACAAUGGGCGAAAGCCUGAUCCGGCAAUGCCGCGUGAGUGAUGAAGGCCUUAGGGUUGUAAAGCCCUUUUACCCGGGAUGAUAAUGACAGUACCGGGAGAAUAAGCUCCGGCUAACUCCGUG
RNAcentral lists this ribosomal RNA (433 nucleotides) under uncultured bacterium. Its description in RNAcentral is "partial 16S ribosomal RNA". It matches the Rfam family "Bacterial small subunit ribosomal RNA", at positions 29 to 507 of the family's 1533-position model. The record is from RNAcentral.